Long non-coding RNA from Homo sapiens (human), 1119 nucleotides. Ensembl annotates it as long intergenic non-protein coding RNA 2609. The record is from Ensembl. Lineage: Eukaryota; Metazoa; Chordata; Mammalia; Primates; Hominidae.
CCCUUCCGAGGAGGCGGUGCUGGGGCGGGCGCAGGACUGCAGGCUGGGGCUCCGCUCCCCGGCGGGAGCCCGCGCGUGGUUCCCAGCGAAGUCCCCGCGCGGCUGGGCCCAGCGUGAGUAUUCUCCGCCCGCUGUCCUCCCCCUGGAGGCGGCAGCGCCCGUUUAUUUGAGGCUUCUAAUGUGAGGAAAAACACGGAAUGACAAGUGUGGGAAAGAGCAAGCACUAAAUUACUGUCAGAAAAAUAAACGGAGUAGCACAGUGCUGCUCGGUGAUUUACGGGGGCAAUUAGUCACCACCCCACGGCGCUGCUGAGGACAGCACGGCAGCAGACAAGUCAGGCCCAUGAGGAAGAAGAGGCUUUGCACUGCUCUCCAGACAACUUUUCAAACAACAAGAGAGGAUAUUUGAGCACAUUAGGUUUUGUGUCUUCAUUCUGGAGACUAAGUUAGAGACCCAGAUGGAGUGGACAUCUUGCCAUCUGUCCCGAAGCUGCAACUUUCCUGAUUCUCCUUGCUUUCAUCAAUGAAUGGCACUACCAUUGUCCUCAUACAGGAAUAUGGAUACCUAUUCCUGAAGAUUCAUCCUUUGCUAUUCCUCCCAAAUAUGGCUAGACAUUUUCACUUCUGGUUACAGUAUCAUAUUUCAGGGUGCAUUCAGAUGUAGAUUUCCAACCUGUCCUGAACAACAUAUUAACAUUACUCUAGUACAGGCCUACAAUCUCCAUAUGCAUCUCAACUCCUCUUUCUGCCACUGCAAUGCAGUGCCCAUGGCCUAUAGUUACCUAUGUGGGCUAAGUACUAUGCUAAGUGUUUUAUAUGGGUCUUUUCAUUUGAUGCAAACAAUGAUGCUAAGAGGUAGGCACUCUUUUUAUACCAGUUUCCAGGUACUUUGCUCAUGGUCACAUAGCUAGAGGAACUGGGAUUUGAAUCAAGAUAUUUGCAUUUAUCAUUCCAAUUCUUCACCCCUUCCUGUGUCCUUGCCUUUUGCCAUGUGACUUUGUAGUUCCCCUAUGAAGAGGUGGAAUCCAUUUUCCUACCCCUUGAUUCUAAGCUCAGCCAUGUGACUUGCUUUGGCCAAUGGGAUGAUAAUGGAUGAUAUAAACAGAAGCUUUUAAGUAA